CAACUCUUCCUCACUUUGUAAAUUAGAUAUUUCUUUUCUCAGUUGGCCAUUCAGAUGGGGUAAAGUCAAUAUCCUUUUAAAACCAAACCAGAUUAUAUUUCCCUGUUUUGGAUCCUUUGAGAGGAAACAUGU
RNAcentral lists this small nucleolar RNA (132 nucleotides) under Salvator merianae (Argentine black and white tegu). Its description in RNAcentral is "Small nucleolar RNA SNORA27 (ENSSMRG00000007021.1)". It matches the Rfam family "Small nucleolar RNA SNORA27". From Rfam's summary of the family: ACA27 is a member of the H/ACA class of snoRNA that guide the sites of modification of uridines to pseudouridines. Lineage: Eukaryota; Metazoa; Chordata; Lepidosauria; Squamata; Teiidae. The record is from Rfam by way of RNAcentral.